RNAcentral lists this ribosomal RNA (253 nucleotides) under uncultured bacterium. Its description in RNAcentral is "partial 16S ribosomal RNA". It matches the Rfam family "Bacterial small subunit ribosomal RNA", at positions 524 to 776 of the family's 1533-position model. The record is from RNAcentral.
UACGGAGGGUGCAAGCGUUAUCCGGAUUCACUGGGUUUAAAGGGUGCGUAGGAGGGUAGGUAAGUCAGUGGUGAAAUCUUCGAGCUUAACUCGGAAACUGCCGUUGAUACUAUCUAUCUUGAAUACCGUGGAGGUGAGCGGAAUAUGUCAUGUAGCGGUGAAAUGCUUAGAUACGACAUAGAACACCAAUUGCGAAGGCAGCUCGCUACACGAAUAUUGACUCUGAGGCUAACGAACGUGGGGAUCAAACAGG